ACGUACACUCCUACGGGAGGCAGCAGUGGGGAAUAUUGGACAAUGGGCGCAAGCCUGAUCCAGCCAUGCCGCGUGAGUGAUGAAGGCCCUAGGGUUGUAAAGCUCUUUCACCGGUGAAGAUAAUGACGGUAACCGGAGAAGAAGCCCCGGCUAACUUCGUGCCAGCAGCCGCGGUAAUACGAAGGGGGCUAGCGUUGUUCGGAUUUACUGGGCGUAAAGCGCACGUAGGCGGACUAUUAAGUCAGGGGUGAAAUCCCGGGGCUCAACCCCGGAACUGCCUUUGAUACUGGUAGUCUUGAGUGCGAGAGAGGUGAGUGGAAUUCCGAGUGUAGAGGUGAAAUUCGUAGAUAUUCGGAGGAACACCAGUGGCGAAGGCGGCUCACUGGCUCGAUACUGACGCUGAGGUGCGAAAGCGUGGGGAGCAAACAGGAUUAGAUACCCCAGUAGUCCC
Molecule: ribosomal RNA, 451 nt
Filed under: uncultured organism
Description: partial 16S ribosomal RNA
Rfam family: Bacterial small subunit ribosomal RNA
Source: RNAcentral